GCGGCCGCGGGGGACCGGCUCCGGGAGGGCGGAGCUGGGCGCCUGUGGGAGGGCUUAACUCGCGAUCUCUGGAGACCAGAGGUUUAGUAAGCGUGUUUGGUGGUUGUCGAGUCUUCCUAGGCCCUGCCUCGCGGUGCCAUUGUGGGAAGGUCCUCUAAAGAGAAAGGGGAGGGAAAGAAAGGAACUGAGGAGAGAUCGGUUGUAGCCCCUUCGGCUGAGCUGCGCGCGGGGCGGAGCCUGGGUGGGCGGGGCCUUUGGUGGGCGUAGUCCUGGCGGGGCGGGGCCAGGCGGGGACGCGCGGGGAGCUGGGGCCCGGGGUCGCGCGCCUCCCAGCUGGAGGCGGAGCCGGCGGGAGGACGUGGGAAAGGUGUGUGUCCUGGGGCACUGCGUCUUCAGCGUGUCGUCUGCGGGGGUAUUUUAAAUUCCCGAACAAGCCCAGAAAGGAGUCCUCAAGACUGCAAGGGAACACCAGAUGAAGGCGAGCUGGCCUGGCCUGGCGCGCUCAGCUCUCCGCGAGGAAGCGGGGAUGGGCAGGAUUGCCUUCGCGCCUCCCCUGCUUCUGCAGCCAAGCCCUGAAGCGGCUUCCUUCGGGGUGGAGAGAAUUCUCGGCGCCGCCCGGAAAGGGUCCCCGGGGGGCUGGCGGGCUGCCCCUCCGGGCCGGGCUCCGGCCUCGCUCGCCGGCUGGGACGCGUUGCCGUGGCGGUAGCCAUGGGGACCAGAGUGGCUGGUGCUGGGAUUCACAGAAGAUUGCGAAAAUAACUCUGCGGUGCCGAGCCAAAGCGCUUUGUUACAAGUUUCAGGAGGCCUCUACUCUAGCGGUAGCUGCGAUGUAUUUUAUUAUUAUGCGUUUUACGUUCAGUGCUAGGAUAGGUAAAAUGAGGAAGGACGGUGUGAUGGAUCAGGUGGUUCCUGAUAACCUUAUUAAAUGUCUGCAUCUUCACUGAGUUAAUUUUAGGAGUGGAAUAAUUAUUUAGGAAGACCAUGGUAACUGGCAAGUAUAGGUGAAUUCUCUGCACUUAAGGAGCGCUAGCUAUACCAGAGUAUCAGAUUCAUUUGUCUGAAUUUUCUGUAUUCUUUGAGUAGAAGUCAACCUCUCAGUGAGAACCGCUGAGGUUGUUUUGUCCUUUGUGAUCUAAAAUUGAAACUUUGGAAACAAACUCUUUGAGGAGUUAUGUUCAACAUAGAAGUGAGUUUCACAUCAUAUUACAAUGAACACAGGCAAAUUGGAAGAUUUACUCUAAAAAAGCUCGGUGCAAAGUAACUGACUGCUACAACUGAGAGCUGUAUCAACAUUUAGCAAGAUUUUAACUUGCCUUCGAGCAUCCCAGAACUUUAUGCAAGACAAUUAGGAACAAAAUCGUACAUUAAGGUUUCUUCUGAAGAGUUUUGUAUGACUGGGCUGGAGACGAGAACUCUAGCUGUCCUGCUGCUGAAUUGUAAACUGGGCAAGUUGUUACUAAACUGCACAUUUGUUAUGUCUGAUAUAUUUUCUCUAUGCUUCGUAGAGCUGUUUGAUUACUACUAGUAAUAUGUGUGGAAUGGCUUUAAACAAAGGGCUACGUAAAGUAUAUUUUAUUUUUAUGUUUGAACUAGUGAUUGGUUUUGCCAGUAAACAUUAAGCGAAGAGAAUUGGGGCAUGGUGAGAGACUAUUUAGGACUUUAGGUAACUAGUAACAGGGUUAAGGUGGGACUGCUUCUCUGUAUGCAAGAGAACUUUGGAGUUAUUAAACUAUUCAUGCGUUAAAAUUAUAUAGGCAUCUCUUGAAAAAUUACUACUAUGCGCGUUAGAUUUUGAGAAAAUACAUACUUCGCUUCUAAGUAGCUCACAUUUGUUUAAAAGUUCUGAUGUUCAGUUAAAUUUUCUAGACAUUUAUCAAGAAUUUAAAACAUUAUUCCAAAGGAAUAUGAGAGCUAUAUGAGAUAAACUGUGUUCCAAAGUACCAUCUGAGGGAUUAGGAAGAGAUCAGUAAAUGAAUGUUAAUGCAUGUUAAUGUCACCUUUCCUGUAAACUACAGGAUGCUUUUGGCUAGUGGGAUCAUUGACUUAUCCAAAGUUCUUGACUAUUAUCUUAAAUAAUAGCAAAUAAUGUAAUUUCCAGUACAUUGUAAAAUGUCAUUUUACAGUAACUUGUCACUGCUUUAAACCUAUCUGUUGGAAUUAAGCACUAUAACAUGCCAAUACUAAUGUGCUUUUGUAGUUGAAAUUUCAUAUUCUACUGUCUGGAGACUGUUUCGUUGUCAUAAACAGGGAGUGGGAUGCCACUGGUGUGUAGUUAGAAAAGGCCAAGGAUGCAGCAAAAAAUCUUACAAUACACAGAACAAUUCCUAACAGGCAAUUAACUCACCAAAAAGUCAAUGUGCCAUUGAGAAAACUUGACCUACUGAACUGUCUUAUGUAGGCUGUAUUCAGGCAUAAAAGUCUUGUUGGUUAUCAUACUUACAUCAAAAAAUAAGUGUAUAUUUAAAUUUAUUGCAUAUCUGUGAUCAUAAUGUUUGAAAUGUUAAAGUCAAUUGUUAAAGUCAAUUUGGAGGAAAAAAAGUUUUAUUACUACUGUUAGUGUACAGCCGGUCAAACAACAUACAUAUCCCAGUUUUGAAUGGUUAAAGUGUAAGAUUUUACUGAGAUGGAUUUCUUUAUGAGAUUGGAAAAGUGUUUCCUUACCUAAUCAUUGGAACUAUUUUCUUACAUUGCUUUUGUUUUGUGGCCUGGCAGUUAGUGUACCCUUUCUGCUUCUACCUGGGUAAGAGAUACUCUUUUUGUAAAAGUUCAAUUCCCUCUGUUCUGAAGUGCCUUGAACAGUUUCUGGUAUAUAUGGUUGUUCCAUUAGCAGUCGUUAGAUAGAUGGAUAAACAAUUGAAAGGAUAUACACUUCAAAAUUAAAUGUUAUAGUAGUCCAAGCUAGAAAUCAUAGGUGUUAGUAUCAGAUUAAAUGUUAUUAUAAUAACACAACUAGAAAUGAUGGGUGAAAACUUGUACAUUUUGGAUAUACAGUAUUCUGAAGACAAAGCAAGGGAAACUUACUUAAAAUUUGCAUGUAAAAGAGAAACAUCAGCUAUCACUGCAUGCCUAUGGUCCUGAAAAACUGUAAGUUACCAUUUGUCCAAGUCUUUUGGGGCUAUUGUAAGAAAAAUAUGAUAGGUUAGAUAACUUAUAAACAUAGAAAUUUAUUUUUCUCAGUUUUGGAGGCUAGAAAACUCCAUGAUCAAGGUACUUGGAAAAUUUGGUGUCUCCUGCUUCAUAGAUGUGCGUAUGUUUGAUGUCUUCAUAUGCCCAUAGCACAGAAUCUGAGAUUUCCUUUAUAAGGAUGCUAAUCACCUCCCACACAUCCUGCCUUCAGAUACCAUCACACUGGGGUUAGGCUUCAACAUCAGAAUUUGUGAGGGACACCAACAUUCAGAUCACAGCACCGCUUAUUCGUAUGGGGGAGACUGAGACGAAUAGGAUGAUGAAGGUGGAAGUGUAAUUCUUCUGUCCAUUUUCUUCAGUGGCACAUUUGUGUUUCUAAAUUUAAUUUUCCAUUGAAACCUGUACUUAUCUAUCACAAUAUAAAUAAUACCAUGUAUUGCCUUCAGUUUAAAAGGUCUAAACAUUUUCUCACAGACUGAUGGGACAUUUCCCAUGCUCUACCUUCAAGUUGAACACCUGACAACAUUAAUUGAAAUACUUCUACUAAGUACUAUUAUCUCAUUUAUGUGUAUUAGGAGAUUGAACCUUCAGCUCACGUUUGGUUACUGAAGGUUUUUCUUUAAAAAACUAUUGAGUUUAAAAUACAGUAAGACGUAUUUUCUACACAACUUUCUAUAUAGGUAUUUUCUCAUUUCAAAUAGUUGGCUCUGCUGGUUGUCAAGCUCAUACCAAACCUGUGAGUUUGCUUGUAGUAAUUGAAUCAUAAGUUUUCUGAUUUGUUCAGAAUGAAGCAAAUUAAUCCAAACACAAAUGCAGUGUUGUAAUUUAUUAUUUAUAAUUCAUAUUAUCACGUAGUGUGAGUUUUCCGCAUUGCCUAGGUUAAUUCUGAGAAAUGAAUUUUUCAGUGUAUUUUUUUAAACUUUAUUGAUUUAUUUAUUUGGUUUGCUUUGGUUAAGCAGAGAAAAUAAUACAUGCAAAAUUGUCAUUUUCAAUGAGAACCCACUUGUUAAGAUCUCUAAAAAAGUUGCCCCAAGACAAGUCUGACUGUAAACCUAUGUAAAUUAAAAUUAUUGUUUUCUGUCUUAUGGGUUGGCACAUGCACUGAAUAUGGAUAGGUAAAAGAUGCACUGUGUUCAACUUAAUGGCUCUACAGAUUGCAAAAGUCAGCCAUAACUAAAGAUUUAAUAUAAUUAAGCCUUUUUACCAAGUUUUUAAGAGCAGUCUUGAAUAAAACUGGCUUUUGGUUUUAACAGUGUGUAUGUGGAAAGAAGAAUACCAGGAUUUGACUCAUGCUAGCACUUUUAUUCCCCAUUGCUUUUUAAUCCUCAGUACAAAUGUUAAUGCAGGUGUUCCAAGAUAAACUAUAAUGUUUAAAAAAUUACUUAACAC
Molecule: long non-coding RNA, 4515 nt
Organism: Chinchilla lanigera (long-tailed chinchilla)
Lineage: Eukaryota; Metazoa; Chordata; Mammalia; Rodentia; Chinchillidae
Exons: 2
Source: RefSeq, a predicted model, not a curated record